AAAGUGGCGAACGGCUGAGUAACACGUGGGCAACCUGCCCUUUGCACUGGGAUAGCCUCGGGAAACCGAGGUUAAUACCGGAUACUCCAUAUUUGUCGCAUGGCGAAUAUGGGAAAGCUCCGGCGGCAAAGGAUGGGCCCGCGGCCUGUUAGCUAGUUGGUGGGGUAGUGGCCUACCAAGGCAAUGAUGGGUAGCCGGGUUGAGAGACCGACCGGCCAGAUUGGGACUGAGACACGGCCCAGACUCCUACGGGAGGCAGCAGU
Molecule: ribosomal RNA, 263 nt
Filed under: uncultured Atopobium sp.
Lineage: Bacteria; Bacillati; Actinomycetota; Coriobacteriia; Coriobacteriales; Atopobiaceae
Description: partial 16S ribosomal RNA
Rfam family: Bacterial small subunit ribosomal RNA
Source: RNAcentral